AUGCAGACCCCGAAGGACAGCUGCACCAUGUCGCACAUGGUGGCCGGUUGUAGCAGCAGUGACCACACUCACCAGGUCCAGGGGAAAGCCUACUAUUGCAGGGAUAUCAUGAUAACACAUUUUGAACCUUCUGUCUCCUUUGAGGGCCUUUGCAGUGAGGCUCGAGACUUGUGUUCUUUUGACAAUGAACAACUUUUCACCAUGAAGUGCAUAAAUGAGAAAAGAGAUCCCUGUACAGUAUCAUCUCAGUUGGAGUCAGAAGCGAUCUUUAGGCUUUACAAGCACUAAACAAGGAUUCUGAACUCUUGAUCCAUGUAUUCCCUUGUGCACCAGAAUGUCCAAGAAUGCCUGUCCAGGAGAAGAUAAAUCCAUCUAUCACCGAGGUGCAUGUCGCUAGAGAAAGUUUCAUUGUGCAAAUGGCCACACUUUCCAAGCCAAGUGAUUCAAUAGGUGAGCUCACUGUGCCAUCUGCACAGACUGAAUAUAGGGACUCGAAUGCAGGGUAUGUAUGUGCAUCAACUGCAAACUCCUGGUCCAUAAGAAGUGUCAUAAACUUGUCACAAUUCAAUGUGGGUGGCAUUCUUUGCCACCGGAACCAAUGGUGCCCAUGGAUCAUUCACUUAUUAAGACCUUGCACAGACAAGUCACGAGAGCUUAGACCAAGUUGGUGAGGUAAAGGAGGCAAUGAACACGAGGGAAAGUGGCAAAGCUUCAUCCAGUUUAGGUUUUCAGAGUUUUGAUUUGCUCUGGGUAAUAGGAAGAGGAAGUUAUGCCAAAGUACUGUUGGUUCGACUAAAAAAGGCAGAUCGCAUUUAUGCAAUGAAAGUUGUGAAGAAAGAGCUUGCCAAUGAUGAUGAGGGUAUUGGUUGGGUGCAGACAGAGAAGCAUGUAUUUGAGAGAGCAUCCAAUCAUCCUUUUCUUGUCAGGAUGCAUUCUUGUUUUCACACAGAAAACAGAUUGCUUUGUUAUAGGGUAUGUAAGUGGAGGAGAUCUAACAUUUCAUAUGCAAUGACAGAUAAAACUUCUUGAAGAACAUGCUAGGUUUCACUCUGUAGAAAUCAGUCUAGCAUUAAAUAUCUUCAUGAGCGAGGAAUAACUUAAAGAGACUUAAAAUUAGGCAAUAUAUCACUGAACUCCAAAGGGUACAUUAAGCUCACCGACUAUGGCAUGUGUAAGGAAGGAUUACUGCCAGGAGAUACAACCAGCACCUUGUGUGGCACUCCUAAUUACAAUGCUCCUGAGAUUUUAAGAGGCAAAGAUUAUGGUUUCAGUGUUGACUGGUGGGCUCUUGAAGUGAUGAAAUGAUGGCAGGAAGGUCUCCACUUGAUAUUGUUGGGAGCUCUGAUAACCCUGAUCAGAACUCAGAGGAUUAUCUCUUCCAAGUUAUUUUGGAAAAAACAAAUUCACAUACCACAUUUUCUCUCUGUAAAAGCUGCAAGUGCCCUGAAAAAUUUUCUCAACAAGGAUUCAAAGGAACUAUGGGGCUGUCACCCACAAACAGGAUUUUCUGAUGAUUCAAGGACACCCAUUCUUCUAAAAUGUUGAUUGAGAGAAGAUGGAGCAAAAGCAGGUGGUACCUCCCUUUAAGCCAAAUAUUUCUGGGGAAUAUAGUUUAGAAAACUUUGAUGCUCAGUUUACUAAUGAACCUGUUCAGUUCACUCCAGAUGGCGAUGACACUGUAAAGAAGAUUGAUCAAUCCAAAUUUGAAGGUUUUGAGUAUAUCAAUCCUCUUUUUAUGUCUGCAGAAGAGUGUGUCUGAUCCUCAUUUUCCAACUAUGUAUUCUGCUCAUGUUGUGAUGCAUGAAAAAUCUUGUUACCAGCCUGGAUACAAUUUUUUAUUUUAUAU
Molecule: RNA transcript, 1846 nt
Organism: Carlito syrichta (Philippine tarsier)
Lineage: Eukaryota; Metazoa; Chordata; Mammalia; Primates; Tarsiidae
Gene name: protein kinase C iota type pseudogene
Exons: 1
Source: RefSeq, a predicted model, not a curated record